Hemicordylus capensis (graceful crag lizard) is the source of this 4906-nucleotide long non-coding RNA. RefSeq lists it as uncharacterized. Lineage: Eukaryota; Metazoa; Chordata; Lepidosauria; Squamata; Cordylidae. The record is from RefSeq and is a predicted model, not a curated record. The transcript is spliced from 10 exons.
UGUUGUUGAGUUAGAUUUAGUGUUAGGUUAGGUUGCAAUUAUUCAUCCAAGAACAAGGACCAUCCUGCUGAAAAUGUAAGUCUUGCUUUCAUUCUUCCUUUCCUUUUCAUUUCUAAACCACCAUGUAAUACCCCUGCUAACUGGACAAAGAGGCACCUGUUUAAGGUGGUGAUCCUCUUUAUUGAGCAGGGGGAGAGUAACUGGCCCUCUUCACCCCCAGCACAGUAACUCCAGUGGCUGUUGCUGGUGUCUGUUUUAUGUUUCCUUUUUGAGUGUGAGCCCUUCAGGGACAGUGAGCCAUCUUAUUUAUUUACUUGUUAUUUUUCUACGUAAAACAUCAGGGAAACGACUGAUGAAAAGCGGUAUAUAAAUAUGUUUUGUUGUUGUUAUAUCAAGGCAGUGUGCACAAGAGUCAAUAAAAGCAAUCCAACCGAUUAUAAAAAUGUUAACGAUGGUUUAGAAAAACAUUGAUAUAAAUGUAUAUCAAUAUUUGUUAUUAUCUCAAGGCAGUAUGCACAACUGAAAGCAAUAAUAACAGUCAAUAACAGUAAUCCCACCAAUCAUAGCAUUUUAAAAAUGGAUUAGAAAAACCUUCUGUUAAUGGAUCUCCAGUGACUGUUGCUGGUGUCGAUCUUGUGUUUCAUUUUAAAUUGUGAGCCUUUGGAGACAGGGAUCCAACUGAUUUAUUUAUUUUUUAUUUCUUGAUGUAAACCACUUUGGAAACUUUUGCUGAAAAGUGGUAUAUAAAUAUUGGUUGUUGUUGUUAUUGUUGUAUCAAGGCAGUGUGCACAAGAGUCAAUAAAAACAAUCCAAUCAAUUAUAAGAAUUUUAAAGAUGGUUUAGAAAAACGUUGAUAUAAAUGUAUACAAAUAUUUGUUGUUGUUGUUGUUGUUGUUGUUGUUGUUAUCUCAAAGCAGUGUGCACAACUGAAAGCAAUAAUAACAGUCAAUCAAAGUAAUCCAACCAAUCCUAACAUUUUAAAAAUGGUUUAGAAAAACCUUCUGUUAAUGGAACUGUUUUGGGGGAUGGGCAAAACACCCCGAAAUGCGAUAAAGCUUGUUUGGCAGGGGAAUAAGUGGACUAGUGUGAAUCUGUCCCACCAUGUCAGAAUAAAUUGGUGCAAAGCUCUGGACCUGGGGAAAUGAACUGACAGAGAGUAGGCUGUGGUUCACAAAAGCAAUCGGUUUAUUGAAGGGUUUCAGGCUAGAGUGGGGAAAGAGUUGAUUUAUUAUUUAUUAUUAUUAUUAUUUAUUAGAAACCUUUAAUAUACCGCCCACUCCGAAGACUCUGGGUGGAGCACAAAAACAUGCAAAAUAAGGCAACAUUAAAAAUUACAUUCUAAAUUAAUAACUAAAGUAACUAACAAAACAAAAAAAAGGACAAUUACAGGGCAAAAGCCUGGCGAAAAAGAAAAGUCUUCAAUAGAGAUUUGAAGAUCAGUAAGGAAAGGGCUAGACGAACCUGAAGGGGAAGAGAGUCCCAAAGAAUUAAGGCGAUAUUAUGACUCAAAAACGUCACUGAGGUUAACCGGGGAACUUCCAAAGCGGAGGUUUGAGCCUGGUGUCUGAAUUGAAUGAACUCCAGACUGGCGAGAGGAAGAAGGCUUCAGAGCAACAGGUUUUUGGAUGGAGGAAAGAAUAGGGACAGGGAGAAGCCCAGAGGGGCACCGUGGUUAGUAGACCACCUCACUCCUUCUGGCUCUGAUGCAACCAGAGGACCUCUUUCCUCUGGACUGGAUGGGGAAUCGGGAGGCAGUGUUAGAGAAGCGAAUGCCAUUGGGGGGCUGAGCAGUGGGGGUAGAUCCCAAAGGGGCCUGGUUUCAGUGUAGCCAUCUUCUCGUAGCAGCGAGGCCUGCUGGGCCGAUCAGGCCAGUGAGGAAGGCUGAUCUGCAGGCUGAGAGCGGGAAUGAUGCCAUGAGUGAGGCAAAUGCUGAUUCCUCCUCCUUCCUGGGGAGGGGAAUUGCUCUGGGUCUCCAAAGCAUCCAUCGAGAACUUCUCGGGCAGGGCAGAAGGACCCGUAAACUGAUUAAUGCUUUUAAGGAGCGCAUCUCCUGAGUUCGUGGAGCUCUUUUGCUGGGGAGGGGAGUAGCAUUCUCACAGUGCCUUAUCUGCUGUCCUGCAGAGAUGAUUAGCCAGGGGCUAGCAAGGUUGGAGUGGGCCACAAAGAUUUUAAAAUGCCCCCCCCUCAUUGAAGCUCAGCUCAUGAAGUAAAGGAAUCUUAAAUGAGGCUGAAUAGCGGUAACAAAAAGAAUAUCUAUAUCUCCUAUGUGCCACAAUAGAACAUCAAUCUUAAUGAUUUUUUAAAAGGUUUUGUAAAUUGUGGACGAUGCAAGUCAUUUAAAGUACAAGAGAAAGUCCUGCUCUUCUGGUAGCUCCAGGUCUUAACACUCACAUCCGUUUCAGAGGAGGAAUACCACUGAAGGAAGCCCGGGCGGGUGGAUGGCUGGGGGAGUCAGUCAUGUGACUUGCCUCGGGGGGGGCAAGGCGGUGGGCCCCCAGACAACUGCCUCCCCUUGCCCUAUGAUAGUUACGCCCCUGUGAUCAACAUAGCUUGUUUGAGGCAACCUAGGAGGGGAGGAAACAGAGUCAGUCUCCGGACAGAGAGACUUUGAAAUUCCGUCAGAAGUGAACUCGGGUCUCCUUAGGCAUUUCCAGUAGAGGGAAAGGCACGAGGCUAAUCCCAUUUCAGUUCGCUUCACAGCUGGUGAACCUGGGGCGAUUGUCCCACUGCCUGCUAACUGACCUGUCCCCAUAGAACGGAAAGCAAGGAGCCCACGAUCAUGGGAAGCUCUGAGCAUAUCAAGAAUGGGAACUACAAGCCUGUUCCAAUUUGCUUUAUCUGCAUCCAAAUCUAGGGGCGACAAGCCCGUUGCCAACUCAGGGAUCUGUUCCCCCUGUGUACUAUGAACUGAGAGCUCCUGUCGCUGUGAGGCUCCUGAGCAUAUCCAAAGUGCCAUCUCCAAGCCUGGAGAUGAAUCGGCAAUCAGGGAGCCAGGCCAUCUCAGCGUAGCUGCUAACAUUGCUAACUUGGUAGCUGGUAACCUAGCUGGUAGCUGGUAACCUUGCUAGCGGGUAACCCCUGCUAACUGGGCAAAGAGGCACCUUUUAAUGUGGUGAUUCUAUUUAUUUAGCAGGGGGAGGGUGACUGGCCCUCUCCACCCCCAGCACAACGUCCCUCCAGUGGCUGUUGCUGGCGUCUGUCUUAUGUUUCCUUUUUAGACUGUGAGACCUUUGGGGACAGGGAGCCAUCUUAUUUGUUUGUUAUUUCUGUGUGUAAACUGCCCUGAGCCAUUUUUGGAAGGGCGGUAUAAAAAUCGAAUAAAAUAAAUUAAUUAAAUAAAAUAAACUCUCCCUGGCUGCUCUGCAGGGGCUCCCCGCCCCCCGGGCUCCCUCUCUGCCCCCAAGUUUUCUGCCCAAGGGCCUCGUUCUCACUGUCUCCCUCUUUUCUUCCAGGCUGGGCAGGAUCAGAGCAUUCCUGUCCAGAAGGUCCAGCAGGGUGGCCCCCCUGGACUCACCAGGGCAGCCCUCCGCCUCUGGUCCAUCUGCCGCCAGGUGGUGGUGCAUCUGCGGGGGGAGGAACCGGGUGGCCCCUGCUGCCCCCCUCACUGCCGCCCCUGCUGCCCCCCUCGCUGCUGCCCCUGCUGCCCCCCUUGCUGCCGCCCCGGUGGCACCCCUCGCUGCUGCCCCUGCUGCCCCCCUCACUGCCGCCCUGGAUGCUCCCCUCACUGCCGCCCCGGAUGCCCCCCUUGCUGCCACCCCGGAUGCCCCCCUCGCUGCUGCCCCGAUGCCCCCCUUGCUGCUGCCCCAGAUGCCCCCCUCGCUGAUGGCCCUGGCUGUCCCUGCUGGCCCCCUCGCUACCGCCCCACUGCCUCCCUCGCUGCAGCCAUCUGGGGAGUGCAGCCAGCCUGGGCCGUCCGAGCUGUGUGGGCAGGAUGCUGGAGCUUUCACCACCUACUCCAUCAUCACUGCCCGGCUGCAGACGGUCCAGCGGUCCAGGACUCUUAAGGAAGGUGGAGGGAAGGAGAGGAGGGCUCGGAUAGAGUUCCUGGCCGCCAUCGUCCAGGCGUGUCAGGAAGCCACCUGGAGAGGGGACUGACGCCUGCCCUUCUCCAAGCCCUCAGCUGCCCAGGCUGUGCUGGAGGAGAUGGACAACAUCUGGGAUGACCCCGUGCCCCACCACCUCUUCUCGCUCUUUAUGGAGGCCAUCAACUCCUUGAGUCGGAUGAAGCCGGGCUUCGGACCGAAAACUGUCAGGACAUUGAUAAUGGACUCCCUGUCUGUGAUCAGUCGUAUGGUCGGAGAGGAGCUCGAGGAAGACAAGGACAUAUGUAUUGAUGGUGCCCCCACAGCCCCCCACCUAGGAAAAGACUCUGCCGGGACAGUGCUCCUUGGUGGGGGGGGGCUGCAUCUCCCGUCCCCAUGGAAGCAGAGCCCGUUUCGGCCCCCGGAGAAGGCCCUCUAAAAGAUGCUCAGAGGCCUCCUGCAGGAAAAACCAACCCUCGCCCAGCUGAUCCUGAUGGCUGAUGCCAUCGACGUGGAGAUCUAUAGCACUAAUGUGAGGGAGGCGGCGGUGGCGGAUAGGACCGGCCUCUUCCUCCUCAACCUGGCCAUCGGGGCCCCCUUCUACUUUGAAGCGGAGCAAAUUAAACCGAUGCUCCCACUAGCCAUACGCCAAGUGGGGAGGACGACGGGCCGGGCCAAGGGUGAGGGCAGUCACUCAUCGAGUGAAGACGACCUGGGAUGAAUAAGAACUGCUGAUGUGUCCCAAUUCAGCAGCCCUUUUCGAGAACGAAUGAGAAAUUGCAUCAGACUCCAGGAAGAGCAAGCAAAACCAAAACAAAAAUUAAACAAAAUUUAGCCACUGAGUUGAUGUACAUAUAAAUAAGAGUUGACAAUAAAAAAUUACA